UGUUAAAUACCGAAACUUGAA
This 21-nucleotide non-coding RNA is filed under the name Caenorhabditis elegans. The record is from RNAcentral. Lineage: Eukaryota; Metazoa; Nematoda; Chromadorea; Rhabditida; Rhabditidae.